GGAAGCUCAACUACGUCGAGCCUCUAGCACAAUUUAGUUCAACAACACUUGCUAAUUUACGUAAAAUAGGAGCUCAUUCGAUAGGAAAAAAACAUAUUUUGUGCAAUAUCAUGACCCCUUGGACAAUUUUUGUGCAGUCAUGAGACUUUUAGUCAACCAGAUUGCUGUCUCUCUAGAUGACAUUCCAUCAUCUCCGAAUGGUUUCAACACACCAGCAAGCUCAUCGAUUUUUUCCUGCUUAAGUAGUCGUGCACAGACCUCCAAAAGGGACUCUAAAGCUUCAGCUCUUUGUAAAGUAGGAUUUCCCCAAUCGUCUUUGUCCUCCUUACUAGCUAACGCGGCUAGUGACUUGAGCUGUGACACCUUAUCAUCCAGUGCUCGAAGAGCAUCUUUCUUGGACUGUUUGCUGUCACAAACCAUGGUUGUUUUCUUUUCUAGCUCGUCUUUAUGUAGAAGUGAACCAUCACUUUCAGAUGACAUGCAGUCAAUAGUAACUUCUAUACACUCACUACCAUUUUCAGUUUCAGCAGCAUAGCAUCUUGGUGCUGCCUCUGUAUCUGGUUUUGCAGGCUGUGAAUUUGAUGAAGUGCUUUCUUCAUCAUAGCAUCGUGUUUUAGCGUUGGAUCUUCCAUUAGACAAUGUCAUUCUGCUACACUUUUCGGAGAUACAUUCUACUAUAUCUGCUUCCUCAUUGUCCAGUGGACUGCUCAACACCUCAAGUUCUUUUGUCUUGCUACUCUUCCUAUCAUCCUCUUCAAAUCGUCUAACAUGCUCCGGAGAAGCAUGCUCUUGUUCCUCGGACCAUAUUUUUGCCAUUGAACUUGAAGAGCUUGGAGUGAUAGUAGUUUCUGCUUGCGAGAUGGUCUCCGGUUGAUCAUAUCCAUUGCAAACAGCUGCCUCACUCAUCUCCCCACUUUUAGAAUCCUCACUAUCUUGAGAGAUCCUAACUGAGUAGCUUGUUGGAUCAACUCUCUUAGUCUCAAUUUUAGCUCGGAACGUGUUAUAAUUAUCUGACAAGUUUCUUGGCUGGAUAUUAUCACUUUCAUCAAAGUAAAGGACAGUUCUUUUCUCUUUUAACUUCAGCUGUCUGUCUCUGCUAUCUCUCGGAGUGAUAGAUUUUCCAGGUGAUGGUCGUGUUUUCUCUUUCGUGCUGCUUGGGGACUUCACAGGAAGAAACACAGAUGAAGGGUUGUGACACGACAAGAGGUUAUCUGAUAAGUUUCUUGGCUGGAUGUUAUCACUUUCAUUGAAGUAUAGGACAGUUCUUUUCUCUUUUAGCUUCAGCUGUCUGUCUCUGCUCUCUCUUGGACUGACAGAUUUUCCAGGUGAUGA
Molecule: unclassified non-coding RNA, 1332 nt
Filed under: Hevea brasiliensis (rubber tree)
Lineage: Eukaryota; Viridiplantae; Streptophyta; Magnoliopsida; Malpighiales; Euphorbiaceae
Source: RNAcentral